UGGGGAAUCUUGGACAAUGGGGGCAACCCUGAUCCAGCCAUGCCGCGUGAGUGAUGAAGGCCUUAGGGUCGUAAAGCUCUUUCGCCUGUGAAGAUAAUGACGGUAGCCGGAGAAGAAGCCCCGGCUAACUCCGUGCCAGCAGCCGCGGUAAUACGGAGGGGGCUAGCGUUGUUCGGAAUUACUGGGCGUAAAGCGCGCGUAGGCGGACUGAUCAGUCAGGGGUGAAAUCCCGGGGCUCAACCCCGGAACUGCCUUUGAUACUGUCAGUCUUGAGUCCGGAAGAGGCGAGUGGAAUACCGAGUGUAGAGGUGAAAUUCGUAGAUAUUUUGGGAGGAACACCAGUGGCGAAGGCGGCUCACUGGCUCGAUACUGACGCUGAGGUGCGAAAGUGUGGGGAGCAAACAGGAUUAGAUACCCUGGUAGUCCACACCGUAAACGAUGAAUGCCAGUCGUCGGGUAGCAUGCUAUUCGGUGACACACCUAACGGAUUAAGCAUUCCGCCUGGGAGUACGGUCGCAAGAUUAAAAGCUCAAAUGAAUUGA
RNAcentral lists this ribosomal RNA (542 nucleotides) under uncultured bacterium. RNAcentral describes it as "bacterial SSU rRNA". It matches the Rfam family "Bacterial small subunit ribosomal RNA", at positions 355 to 913 of the family's 1533-position model. The record is from RNAcentral.